AAAAAAAAAAAAAAAGAAAAAAAAAAAAAAAGAACGUUGUUUUGGCGGAAAAUUAUUUUUAUAUUUAUAUAUACAUAUUUUAUAUAUGCAUUCUUACUAAUUGUGUUAGUUUUGUACCAUUUCGUUAUUUUUUUUUAUUUUUUAUUUUUUUUUUAUGAUUUUAUAUAUAUAUUUUUCUUUAAAACUGUUACUCAUUUCCAACACCGUUUGUUUUUUAAAUAUAUAUUUUGAAACAUUUUGUUUUCUUUUAUUAUUGGUAAAUAGUUUUCUGCAUAUAACUGAUUACUCUAUGUUUGUUCGUCACUGAUAUUUGACUUAUAUAUAUAUCUACGCUUGUACACAUAUAUGUUGUUAUAGCAUAUAAUUUUUAUAUGUUACUUUUACUUGAGAAAAGCACAUCCGCGUGUUUACUAUAGUAAUUAUUUAUAUUAUGUCAUUUAGUUUUAUUCAUAUUGUAUUGUAUGAAAUGCAAUAUAUAUAUUUUUUUUUAAAGUAAUCUAUUAUACAUAGAAAAUGUAUUUAUUUUAAAAGCGAAAAAUGUACACUUCAUAUUUCCCAACAAAACUUUUUUUUUUUUUUUUUUUUUUUUUUUUUUUUUUUAAAAGUUUAUAUGACUAUAUUAUGACAUUCAUUAAAAAAAAAAUUAAAAUAUAUUAAAAUAAAUUCAUAAAAUCACGCAUUUGUGAAUACAGUGUUAACUUUGAAUACACCAUUUUCUGAAAAUAUUAUAUUUUAAAUUUUACCACAAUGACAAGUAAUAAAGAAACAAAGGAUAGAUACGUAGAUUUAUUUGUUUACACAGACCCUGAAUUAUGUGACGAAGAGAAUUUAUUUGAAACUAAGCAAGCACCAUGGUUCUAUCACCUAAAACAUCUGCUUGAACUAAAAAGAGAAGAUUUCAUAAAAAUAAAAAACAUGAUCGAAGAUGAGAAAAAAAAAAAGAAAAAAAAAUGUCACAUAUUGGAAAUAAUAGAUAAUAACAAUUUAAGUAAUAUGAUGAUAAAUUUUAAAGAUAGUUUGGAAAAUGUAUUGUCUGUUUAUUUACAUUCUUGUAAUAAGUUUUUAAAAGAGUAUUCAAAGAAUGACAACAGUAAGGAACAUGCGCAUUUUGUUUUUGUUAUUGGGAAUAUCACAGCCGAUUUAGAUUCUGUUUGUUCGGCUAUAAUGUACAGUUUUUUUUUAUACAUAUGGGAUUGCUUAAAAUGUAAAAUUACAAAGGGAAUGAUAUCUCAAAAGUUAAAGUUUUUUAUACCUGUUAUUAAUAUUAAAAAAAGUGAUAUGAAGAUUAAACAUUUGACAAGCUGGUGGCUACAAAUGUGUAAUCUUAAAAAACCGGAAGAAAUUUUAAUAUUUAAUGACAAUGAUAAUUUAUUGAAUGUUUUAAAGAAUAACAAAAGGUAUCAAAUAUGUUUGGUUGACUUAAAUGAAAUUGUACCUAAUAAUUUGUACAAUAUAAAUAAUAUAAAAUCGAUAAUUGACCAUCAUAUAAUUAAAAAAGAAGAUAUAUCUAAAAAUAUAACCAAAUCAAUUUAUCCUAUAUGUGUGUGUAGUUGUAUGGUUAUUAUAGCUUAUUUAUAUAAAUUUUCGAGCAAGUAUCUCAAUAUACCCUUUAUUAAUAGAUCUAUGAUGUGGCUAGUAUAUGGAACCAUUUUAAAAGAUUCAAACAACUUUAUAGAAAAGGAUUUUCAGAAACGAUGGAUACUAGCGGAUUUAAAAAUAUUUGUAUCUUUGAAAGAAUACUUUAGAAUACCAAAACAAAUGGACAUAUAUAUCACAUACAUGUUCAACGUUAUUAGAUUUACCAUUGAUUUAAAAAAAUAUAAUAUAGAAAAUUUAUUAUUCGUCGAUUACAAAGACUAUCAUUAUGGAAUUUUAAAAAAAAAAAUAAAAAUAAGAGCGGCAUCAAUAGAUUUUAGUAUAGAUCUUUUAAUUACCCACAACGACAAUAAAAACCUCACUGACAAAAUGUGUGAGUUGUGCGACGAAAAAAACAUAUCUCUUUUUAUAUUAUUGGGAUCUUAUUUAAAAAACUUUAAACUAUUUAAAGACAUGGGUAUUUUGUUUUAUAAUGAUGAUAUAAAAGCAGAAGAAUUAAUGAAUGCCUUGUUGAAGGAAGUUGAUGCAAAACUUACGAAAAAAAAAAGCACAAAUGUAAUUUGGGAAACAAAUUCUAAAAACUUUGAAAUAUAUCAAAUAAACAACGCAAGUUAUUCAAGAAAAAAGUUAGAGUGUUUUUUAAAUGAAUAUAUGAAUAAAUAUUACAAAAAUUAA
Piliocolobus tephrosceles (Ugandan red Colobus) is the source of this 2271-nucleotide long non-coding RNA. The record is from Ensembl. Lineage: Eukaryota; Metazoa; Chordata; Mammalia; Primates; Cercopithecidae.